Molecule: ribosomal RNA, 386 nt
Filed under: uncultured bacterium
Lineage: Bacteria
Description: bacterial SSU rRNA
Rfam family: Bacterial small subunit ribosomal RNA
Source: RNAcentral
GACGAACGCUGGCGGCGUGCUUAACACAUGCAAGUCGAGCGGAAAGGCUCCUUCGGGGGUACUCGAGCGGCGAACGGGUGAGUAACACGUGAGUAAUCUGCCCUUGGCUUUGGGAUAAGCCCCGGAAACGGGGUCUAAUACCGGAUACGACGCACUCUCGCAUGGGAUGUGUGUGGAAAGUUUUUCGGCCAGGGAUGUGCUCGCGGCCUAUCAGCUUGUUGGUGGGGUAAUGGCCUACCAAGGCUUCGACGGGUGGCCGGCCUGAGAGGGUGACCGGCCACACUGGGACUGAGGCACGGCCCAGACUCCUACGGGAGGCAGCAGUGGGGAAUAUUGGACAAUGGGCGAAGCCUGAUCCAGCAACGCCGCGUGAGGGAUGACGGCCU